GACGUAGGGCGCGAGCGUUGUCCGGAUUUAUUGGGCGUAAAGAGCUCGUAGGCGGCUUGUUGCGUCAGCUGUGAAAACCCGCAGCUCAACUGUGGGCUUGUAGCUGAUACGGGCAGGCUUGAGUUCGGUAGGGGAGACUGGAAUUCCUGGUGUAGCGGUGAAAUGCGUAGAUAUCAAGUGGAACACCAGUGGCGAAGGCGAGUCUCUGGACAUUUCCUGACGCUGAGGCACGAAAGCCAGGGGAGCAAACGGG
This 253-nucleotide ribosomal RNA is filed under the name uncultured bacterium. RNAcentral's name for it is "partial 16S ribosomal RNA". It matches the Rfam family "Bacterial small subunit ribosomal RNA", at positions 524 to 776 of the family's 1533-position model. The record is from RNAcentral.